Non-coding RNA from Meyerozyma guilliermondii ATCC 6260, 33 nucleotides. NCBI's taxonomy places the organism in Eukaryota, Fungi, Ascomycota, Pichiomycetes, Serinales, Debaryomycetaceae. The record is from Rfam.
UGUUAUGGGACAAAAUCCAGAAGAGAUUUUGUA